Molecule: non-coding RNA, 427 nt
Organism: Erinaceus europaeus (western European hedgehog)
Lineage: Eukaryota; Metazoa; Chordata; Mammalia; Eulipotyphla; Erinaceidae
Source: the annotation of a RefSeq genome assembly
CCACAGCAUAUGGUGGUGACAGGGGACUGUGUGCACCAUGACCUGGACUCCUCUCUUCCUCACCUUCAUUGCUCACUGCACAGGAUCCUGGGCCCAGUCUGUGCUGACUCAGCCACCCUCAGUAUCUGGGAGUCUGCAUGAGAGGGUCACCAUCUCCUGCCUUGGAGGCAGCAACAACAUAGGAAACGGUUAUGAUGUACACUGGUACCAACAGCUCCCAGGAUCAGCCCCCAAACUCCUCAUCUAUGGUAAUAGCAAUCGACCCUCUGGUGUCCCUGACCGAUUCUCUGGAACCAAGUCUGGCAGUUCAGGCACUCUGACUAUCAGCGCACUCCAGAGUGAGGAUGAAGCUGAUUAUUUCUGCCACUCUUAUGAUAGCAGCAUCAGUGCUCCCACAGUGCUUCAGAAUCAUGAGGAAGUGAAAUAA